CCCUUAGAUGUCCUGGGCUGCACGCGCGCUACACUGAAAGUUACGGAUUGACUUUUUACCUUGUCCGAAAUGGUCCGGGUAAUCACCUAAAAGCUUGUCAUAAUUGGAAUGGAUUAUUGUAACUAGUAAUCCUGAACGAGGAAUUCCUAGUAAGUCCCAGUCAACAGCUGGUACUGAUUACGUCCCUGCCCUUUGUACACACCGCCCGUCGCUACUACCGAUUGGGAAAAUUUUAGAGAGUCCUGGACUGAUGAUUGUUCGGCUUCACGGCCUUACUUUCGUCGGGAAAGAAUUCGAUAAUAUUUUUCUAGAGGAAGUAAAAGUCGUAACA
This 331-nucleotide ribosomal RNA is filed under the name uncultured eukaryote. Its description in RNAcentral is "partial 18S ribosomal RNA". It matches the Rfam family "Eukaryotic small subunit ribosomal RNA", at positions 1470 to 1796 of the family's 1831-position model. The record is from RNAcentral.